This 441-nucleotide ribosomal RNA is filed under the name uncultured bacterium. RNAcentral's name for it is "bacterial SSU rRNA". It matches the Rfam family "Bacterial small subunit ribosomal RNA", at positions 335 to 792 of the family's 1533-position model. The record is from RNAcentral.
CCACCUACGGGAGGCAGCAGUGGGGAAUAUUGCACAAUGGGGGAAACCCUGAUGCAGCGACGCCGCGUGGGUGAAGAAGUAUUUCGGUAUGUAAAGCCCUAUCAGCAGGGAAGAAAGAAGACGGUACCUGACUAAGAAGCCCCGGCUAACUACGUGCCAGCAGCCGCGGUAAUACGUAGGGGGCGAGCGUUAUCCGGAUUCACUGGGUGUAAAGGGAGCGUAGACGGCCGUGCAAGCCAGGAGUGAAAGCCCGGGGCCCAACCCCGGGACUGCUCUUGGAACUGUGCGGCUAGAGUGCGGGAGGGGCAGGCGGAAUUCCUGGUGUAGCGGUGAAAUGCGUAGAUAUCAGGAGGAACACCGGCGGCGAAGGCGGCCUGCUGGACCGCGACUGACGUUGAGGCUCGAAAGCGUGGGGAGCGAACAGGAUUAGAUACCCCAGUA